Molecule: long non-coding RNA, 210 nt
Filed under: Citrus sinensis (sweet orange)
Lineage: Eukaryota; Viridiplantae; Streptophyta; Magnoliopsida; Sapindales; Rutaceae
Description: long non-coding RNA (CSIN_LNC005747)
Source: RNAcentral
UUCGCAGUGCCCGUGCAUCUUCUUCGCGUGUGGCCGUACUUCCGUUAAAUGGACAACGCGGCGAAAGUUUCAUUCUCAGUACGAUCGAAAUCUUCCUCAAAACCAAAAACGUCUCAGAAUCAAAACGACGACGGAGAUGAUCAGCCAAACAAACAAUACGUCACCGAAUUCGACCCCGACAAAACCCUAACCGAUUCCAAAAAACCUAGA